RNAcentral lists this long non-coding RNA (534 nucleotides) under Physcomitrium patens. Its description in RNAcentral is "long non-coding RNA (PPAT_LNC010103)". Lineage: Eukaryota; Viridiplantae; Streptophyta; Bryopsida; Funariales; Funariaceae. The record is from RNAcentral.
UAAGAGUUUGGUUAGGGUUUGAUUUAGGAUUUGGAUUAAGAUUUGGUUAGGGUUUGAUUUAGGAUUUGGAUUAGGAUUUGGAUUAGGGUUUAGGGUUUAGGGUUUGGUUAGGGUUUAGGAUUGGAUUAGGGUUUGGGUUAGGGUUUAGAAUUUGGUUAGGAUUUGGAUUAGGAUUUGAUUUGAGGUUUGGUUUAAGAUUUAGGAUUUGGAUUAGGAUUUAGGAUUGGAUUAGAGUUUGGAUUAGGAUUUAGGGUUUGAUUUAGGGUUUAGUUUAGGAUUUAGGGUUUGAAAUAGGAUUUGAUUUAAGAUUUAAUUUAAGGUUUGUUUAGGAUUUGACUUAGGAUUUAGGAUUUAUUACGGUUUAAGAUUUAAUUAGGUUUGGUCUAAAGUUUGAGUGAAAUUCAAUAGGGUUUUAACUAGAAUUAAAUUAAAGUUGAAUUGACAUAUAUUUGAGUAAUAUUUGUGUUCAUUCUAAUAUUUCUUUAAGAAUUUUAUUAUUUGUUUGAAAUUUCUUUGUGUUGUUUUAAAUUUGAU